UCCGAAGGGGGCUAGCGCGGUUCGGACUUACUGGGCGGAAAGCGCACGUAGGCGGAUCGUUAAGUCGGGGGUGAAAUCCCGAGGCUCAACCUCGGAACUGCCUUCGAUACUGGCGAUCUUGAGUCCGAGAGAGGUGAGUGGAACUCCGAGUGUAGAGGUGAAAUUCGUAGAUAUUCGGAAGAACACCAGUGGCGAAGGCGGCUCACUGGCUCGGUACUGACGCUGAGGUGCGAAAGCGUGGGGAGCAAACAGG
RNAcentral lists this unclassified non-coding RNA (253 nucleotides) under uncultured Alphaproteobacteria bacterium. Its description in RNAcentral is "contains 16S-23S intergenic spacer region". It matches the Rfam family "Bacterial small subunit ribosomal RNA", at positions 524 to 776 of the family's 1533-position model. Lineage: Bacteria; Pseudomonadati; Pseudomonadota; Alphaproteobacteria. The record is from RNAcentral.